RNAcentral lists this transfer RNA (72 nucleotides) under Camelus bactrianus (Bactrian camel). It matches the Rfam family "tRNA". Rfam says of the family: Transfer RNA (tRNA) molecules are approximately 80 nucleotides in length. Their secondary structure includes four short double-helical elements and three loops (D, anti-codon, and T loops). Lineage: Eukaryota; Metazoa; Chordata; Mammalia; Artiodactyla; Camelidae. RNAcentral also lists the same sequence under 3 other names. The record is from Rfam by way of RNAcentral.
GAGGGUGUAGCUCAGUGGUAGAGCACAUGUUUAGCAUGCGUGAGGUCCUGGGUUCAAUCCCCAGUACCUCCA